AAAUCUUUAGAAAGAAAGAAAGAUAGCAUCUCUGGGCAAAGACCGAAUCCUGUGUUUGCAGAAGGGAGGCACUGAGUGGGAGACGGUGCGUGGAGUCUGGGAGAGCAGUGGCGUUCUAGAAAGGCCUGAGUGGAGGAGGGAGGGGAAUCGGAUUAUUGGGUGUGUAGUUGGGGAUCUGAGUACCCAGAACUUUCAAAGACAGACAGUGACGUCUUGGCGAGUUGCUGGAGUUUCAGAGAGAGCUGAUGAAGGGCUGGUAGUUGGGUGAGGAUGAAGUGUCAGGCAUCCCGCCUCGGACCCAUAUCUAUUCACUUCUAUAUUCUUCAGCAACUGGAAUCUUCGUGUUACAGAGCCAACCUCAAGUAGCUGCGAAUGAAGGGAACAAGGCCUGUGGCACCAGCGUCCCACAAGGAAGCUGUGACACUCAGAGCAGGGGACUGACGAGUUUCACGGAGGGCCCAUUUGCAAAGCUGGAGCGGGUCCCCAGAGAAGCAGCAGGGAGGGGUGAAGCACCGGGACCAGCCAAGGCAGGAAGCCAUGAUCGCCCCCAGAUGCAUAGAUCUCUAAAAUGUUCCCGGAGCACUCUGGAAGAUUGCUGUGUAAUGUUUCUUCCAAAGGAAGGGGAACUUGCAGAACAUUGAAGAGAUGCCCAGACUGUGCAAAGCUAUAAGCGCCUUCAACUUACUAAGGAAUUAUGUUGGAACUAAGAGAAACUUAAGAGGUACUUGUUACAUGGAGUACAGUGAAAAAAACCCAACCACUGUAAUGAGAUUUUUCAGUUUGGGGCCCUUCCUGAGAACGCAGCGGCCCUCAGAGAUGAAGAGAGCCCCAUCAUAUACAUGAGAACUGAAGAAACGCCGUGCCUUCUGACAACCCCAUCUAGCAUAUGCCAACUCGAGGGUGCUGUGCUUCUAAUUUCAAACUCAUCAUCUGUUGGGGUACCACCACCAGCUGGCUUUGCCCUGGUUUUCUCACCAGGUGGCUCUCACCGUGCUCAGUGGGACAGUGAUGAGAAUGAAGAAAUGGAGAUUUUUGAGGGACUGAGUAAUCUGCCUGAAGUCGUAUAACGUGAAAAAACAGGAUUCAGACUAAAGCCUGUUUGACCUGAGAGUUUGUGUUCCUAAUCACGGUGCUAUGCUGUUUCCCUGUUUUUUUUUUGUUGUUGUUGAAAGAGUAAAUAAUACGUGCUCCUCCACCCUGGCGAGAGUGUAAUAUUAGCAGAUCUCCUCUGCUUGAAGACGUCCUCGGUGACCCGGAGGAAGGGUCUUGGGUUGCUGUGCCAGCAACACAGACAUUACAACUCAAUACCACUGACCGAGAUUUAGAAAUACACACCCACACACGGAAGUCCACACUUUACCAUCGCACAUUCAGCGAAGUGACAGAAAGUAAACCCACAACAAUGGUUGUUCUUGGGGGUGGGGCAUAAGAGUGGGAAAUGAGGCUAAAAGGCAACAAAUAAAUACAUAAGACAAGAGAGGGGCUCCUUCCAGGGCCCAACCAUGACAAUGGCGUGGACUGAAAAACAUCAGCCUUUGGAUUUGAGCAUCUCCCCUCCCUGCAAAACAGAGUAAGAGGCAGGACAAGGGAAAAUUAGAUGAGGUUGAGGAAAGAUUUGGAGUGGCAAGGAAGACAUGCGUGAGUGCCGCCUUCCUCGCAUUCAGAAAUCAUUCAUUUAGUCUUAAAAUGGAAGGACUUUAAUGCAAACAUCAGCUAUACCAAAGCAUGAGCUUGACUCCGUCGGGCAUUGAAUUUUGACGGAGAAUAAAAAGUCCGAGGUUCUCUCUGCAAAGGCAGAUGCUUAACAGACUGAGCCACCCAGGCAGCCCUAUGCUGGGUUUUGAAGGGGGGUAGACUUCUGAUAGCAAAGGCAUCAAAAUACCACAAUAGAGGGGAAUGUCCCAAACAGACAGACAGACAGACAGUCAGGUGGGCCCCAGGCAUGCUGGGACAUCUGCCAGGAACCGUUCAGAGCAGAAGACCAUAGUGUUCAGAUCUCAGCUUCCAGAUGAGUGUAAACUAGGAAACUGACCAACUAAAGACAUUCUUUACAGCCUGGUUGGGUGAGCAGGCAUUGGAGUGUGUAUCUGAGAUUAAAAGUAUGAGCAUGUGGGGUGCCUAGGUGGCUCAGAUGAUUAAGCGUUUGCCUUCGGCUCAGGUCAUGAUCUCUGGGUCCUGGGAUCGAGCCCCAUGUCGGGUUUCCAGCUCAGUAGGGAGCCUGCUUUCCAGCUCCCUCUGCCUUUCUCCCUGCUUGGGCUCUCUCUGCCUCUAACCAAAAAAUAAAAAAUUUUAAAAAGUAUAAGCAUGUGAAUGAACAAAGGUGGUUGGAGUGAACCCCAAAACUGAGCGAGGCUGUGCUGGGAGAAUUUGUUCCAGCUGGGCACUCCCUGGGGGUGUGGAUCCUGUAGCCGGUUGACCGCUGGAACACAGACAUGAACUCCCCAGGAGUCAACACAAAGAGUUCAUCUAACCUAUUGAGAGACAACACAGAACUGUUUAUGAAUUACAGCAGACUACUGGGAAAUCGUUGCAAGUCAAAAGGAUUAAAAAAGGCAGCUUGAAACUCAACUUUUCUAAGCAAGAAACAGUGACUCUAUGAGAAGACAAGGGUACCCAGAGUUUUUUCUGCCCACCGUGAAAAUGUGUGCGUAAUACCUGAACAAUUACGUUUUUGCAUCUGAAUAAGUUCAAGUGCCUAUCAGAGUCAAAUCCGUAAAUCACUAGGCUGUUUCAGAUACAAUGUAUGUGAGCGUGUCCCCAUGGAACUUGGAAUAAUUCCCUCCCAUAUAACUAUUUACACAUGUGUAUAGGUAGUUGAUAGAUAGAUGAUAGAUAGAUAGAUAGAUAGAUAGAUAGGUGUAAUUGAAUACGGGUUGAAAAGCCAGAUUGGGAAUGAAUUGUGAGGACCAUGCCUUCCUGGCUAAGGAGCUGGGGUUUCUCUUUAGACAACAGAAAAUUACGGGCAUGGAUUUCAGAUGAGAACUUUAUGGACUAAGCUUCAGUCUGCUUUCUGGAAGCUAAGGGUGAGUUAUAAACCGUCAACUAGGAAAGCCCUCUGUAAGGCCAAAUGGUCCUGUUCCAGUACCAGCGUGGCUGUUCCUGUACGAUGGCUCCAGGGAGUGGGGAAUCCCGAACCCAGGACCAGGCACAAGGGAUGUAGCAGCUUAGCUGUGGUGUCCUCGAAGGGCUAUCCGUGACAUCAACGUGGCAAGGCUGGGACAGAACGAAGCUCUGGACUUCUUUCCCUGACUCUCAGGGCUCUCCUUCAGCAGAUCCCUCUAUGUCCAGUAGAAGAAAAGAAAACAGAUUUUUGGAAAGACUAAAACUCAAGUUCAGGUUGUAGCAAGCUGUACGCCUAAGGAUAACCAGCAUUUCUAUGACACGAGACGGAAGAAGGAUGGUUAGACUCUUAAUAGAAUUCAUGAACGAUUGCCUGUCUCUUUGUGGGGCCUGCUUUGAUUUAGGGAGUCACUCUUUAUCCACACAGAGGGAAAUGGUCAGAGAUACACAGUCACAACCAGACUACUUGAAUUUUCUAAAUACAAUGUUCUGGAGUUGAGUAUAUCAAUACUAAGGGGACUCUCUUGUAUCUUUGAUGCAUUAGGCAG
Molecule: long non-coding RNA, 3608 nt
Filed under: Mustela putorius furo (domestic ferret)
Lineage: Eukaryota; Metazoa; Chordata; Mammalia; Carnivora; Mustelidae
Description: lncRNA (ENSMPUG00000026328.1)
Source: RNAcentral